UGGCCGUAAACGAUGUGGGCUUGGUGUUGGAAUGGCUCCGAGCUGCUCCAGUGCCGAAGGGAAGCUGUUAAGUCCACCGCCUGGGAAGUACGGUCGCAAGACUGAAACUUAAAGGAAUUGGCGGGGGGAGCACCACAACGCGUGGAGCCUGCGGUUUAAUUGGAUUCAACGCCGGAAAUCUUACCGGGACCGACAGCAACAUGAAGGCCAAGCUGAAGACUUUGCCGGAUUAGCUGAGAGGAGGUGCAUGGCGUAGUCGUGU
RNAcentral lists this ribosomal RNA (262 nucleotides) under uncultured archaeon. Its description in RNAcentral is "partial 16S ribosomal RNA". It matches the Rfam family "Archaeal small subunit ribosomal RNA", at positions 748 to 1009 of the family's 1478-position model. The record is from RNAcentral.